RNAcentral lists this ribosomal RNA (253 nucleotides) under uncultured bacterium. RNAcentral describes it as "partial 16S ribosomal RNA". It matches the Rfam family "Bacterial small subunit ribosomal RNA", at positions 524 to 776 of the family's 1533-position model. The record is from RNAcentral.
UACGAAGGGUGCAAGCGUUACUCGGAAUUACUGGGCGUAAAGCGUGCGCAGGCGGUUGUGCAAGACAGAUGUGAAAUCCCCGGGCUCAACCUGGGAAUUGCAUUUGUGACUGCACGGCUAGAGUGUGUCAGAGGGGGGUAGAAUUCCACGUGUAGCAGUGAAAUGCGUAGAGAUGUGGAGGAAUACCGAUGGCGAAGGCAGCCCCCUGGGAUAACACUGACGCUCAUGCACGAAAGCGUGGGGAGCAAACAGG